CAAAGCGAGGAGGGAAAAGGAGACAGAAAAAAAUUGAAAAAAAGCCCAAAUUAUAAUUAUAUAUUAUAAAUUACUAUUUGAAAGAGUGAAAACAAAGGUCAAAACAGUACUACUGCUAGUUGGAGUGCUGAGGAACUUCACUGUGCAGUUUUAUCCAACGUGAAACUUGGUUUUUUGAUUCCAUGGGAAGAACAUUUUACAACAUUUUUUCAACAGUUUGAUGGCGAGCCACCCAACCAGAACCACUGUGUCUUGAAGGACGGUAUUUUUAUUUUACAUUAUUUUGUUUUUUCUGCAAAGGACUACAACUGAAAAUACUCUAGAGGAGUGCCUUCAUUCAGAGUAAAAGAAAUUGCAGAGACAUCGAAAAAAACAUUUUAAUUUUGGAUGUGAUUUUAGUUUAUUUUAGUUUUUGUUAUAUCCUGUGUGUGUGUGUGUGUAUAUAUAUAUAUAUAUAUAUAUAUGUAUGUAUAUGUGUGUGUGUGUGUGUGUAUUAUCUUAGGCUUAACUUAGAGGGUGUACCCUAGGGUAUUAUAUAUGUACUGUACAUGUUUAAUUUCACUCACUCUAAAUUGUAGAUAAAUCAUUCUAGAUUUACCUUAUCAGUUGUUAUCACUGUUAUUGUUUCAAUCCACUACCUCCUACGUAUCCUUUAGUCUUCUGAUAUCUGGUCUACACAUCAUCUAUAAUCUGCUUCCUCCUGCAUUUUCUUUUUGUUUUUUAGUUGUAGUAAUUUUUUGUAUGCAUUUACAAUAUUUUCUAAAAUGGGUAUUUUCACAAAAAAAAGUAAUUAAAAUCACACUGAUCAGGAUAAAGCAAUAAUUAAUUAAUUGGUGAAUUCAAUGAACAAAUGAAUAAAUCUCAAAUUACACCAGAUGCUCAGUACCCUAGAUGCUGAGUGCCUCGGCUUUUUGCAAUGAGAGCUUCAUUGCUGACCACUCACUCCUGACUGCAUGUCAUGAGUACAGUCCUGAUUCAUGCCUCUAGUUAAAUGUUCUAUUGUUAAUUGUCCACAGUUAUUAUUUUACACAUUUUAUGUGAUUGAUUCAUUUUUUGUCUUUAAAAAUAGCCUAAAGAAGCACUGAAACAGGAAAUGCACAGUAAUUAAUUUGGUGUAUGACUGAGUCUGUGUUGAACUGAAGUGUGUUUUGAUGUGUUCUUUGUUGUCAUUUGUCCACAUUGAACUGCAUUAAAUUAGCUUAAAAUAGUGAAGUCCUGAAUGAGCUUUUUUCUGAUUGAAAAAUGGUGACUAGUCAACUACCGUCUUAACAACCUUUUUUAAUUACUAAUCAUCCACUUAAAAUGAACUGUCAUGCAACCCAUAACACAUGGUGUAUUUUAUUUGGAUUACUAGUAGUUUAGGCAAAAUAUCAGUAAGAAUAAAAACAUCUUUGUGGAUAAAUAACAAUUGAACUCAAAUUUCUUUUGUCAAAAAAAGUUUAGUCAGAUCUUUUUAAUCAAAUCAUAAUAUUGCCUCUUUUAUGUAUUAGCAAAAGGUACAUUUUAAAUUAUUAAGAGGCUCUGGCAGAAAAUAAACCAUUAACCAUAACAUUCUUGAAGUUUUGCAUUGUAUUGACUGGUAGAAAGGCGACUGUUGCCAACUAGUGUAUUUAUAAAAUGUGGUGGUCUGAUAGGAGUGAUGAUUUAUACCAAAAGAAAUUUAAAAAUGUACAGUUGACAAGUAGUCCAGGAUUAAUAUACCUCCAAAAUCACAGGAAUUCAAACAAACUGCAAACAUUUGGAGUUUAGAUACAGAUUAGAUUAGAUUUAGAAUGGGUUAGAGAUAGUUUCAUGGAGUAAGUAACUAAACAAAAAUGAAAAGAAAAAGAUAAAAUAAGAGAAAGCUAUAUUUUGUUAAGCACAUCAUUGUUAAGACAUUUAUUCUUCACAUUUGUAAUGCAUUAGGCAGGUCUCUUUAAAAGCUCAAAUAAUGAGAUAGUCAUCAAAAAUAACAAUUUACAAUAUAUCAGAAUUUUCAUUUGUACCUGCACAGUUUUUUCAUGAAUUAUAAUAAAGUAUUAAAAAGACAAGGUGAAUUUAUACAUGCUAACCUUUUCAUUGAAUUUGGGAUACAAGCAUACCUUAUAAUAAAGAUGUGUUUUUACCGUU
Long non-coding RNA from Ictalurus furcatus (blue catfish), 2109 nucleotides. RefSeq lists it as uncharacterized. Lineage: Eukaryota; Metazoa; Chordata; Actinopteri; Siluriformes; Ictaluridae. The record is from RefSeq and is a predicted model, not a curated record. The transcript is spliced from 2 exons.